Molecule: long non-coding RNA, 428 nt
Filed under: Parus major (Great Tit)
Lineage: Eukaryota; Metazoa; Chordata; Aves; Passeriformes; Paridae
Description: lncRNA (ENSPMJG00000002624.1)
Source: RNAcentral
AUGUUAAACUGCAGGUACAUUAAAAAUCUACGGAAAGUUUGUGCCAGGUGGAAUAGGUGGCUGACCUCUUGGCUCCAGUGCAAUAGGUUACUUAGAGAUAUGGCUGUGGACUUUGUGAAGCAUCUGGCAUUAAGCCAUCUCAUCAUGGCAGGAAGAUAUAAAUUUAUAUCCUGUGUCGGUGUUUGGAAGACAAGGAGAAUUCUGCAAAUCAUAUGCAGAGACCACACUGUACUUGUGGGAUUGAGCUGGGAACCAGUUUAUUAAACCAACAAAAUGAGACAGGAAUUAAAAAGAGUUACCUGGAAGGUUGCACCCUGGUACAGAAGAAUUGAGAGAGAAGCGGGGGAAAAAGUUCAUAUUUAAGAAGAACACUAACAGAAUUCAGAACACCAACAUUUCUCAUUUAUCUGGACUAGCAUAUUUAUUGG